RNAcentral lists this ribosomal RNA (481 nucleotides) under uncultured anaerobic ammonium-oxidizing bacterium. Its description in RNAcentral is "bacterial SSU rRNA". It matches the Rfam family "Bacterial small subunit ribosomal RNA", at positions 363 to 834 of the family's 1533-position model. The record is from RNAcentral.
UUUUCGCAAUGCCCGAAAGGGUGACGAAGCGACGCCGCGUGGGUGAGGAAGGCCCUCGGGUUGUAAAGCCCUGUCAGGAGUUAAGAAAUGUAAGUGCGCUAAUAUCGCAUUUAUUUGACGAAGGCUCCAAAGGAAGUCACGGCUAAUUCUGUGCCAGCAGCCGCGGUAAUACAGAGGUGGCAAGCGUUGUUCGGAAUUAUUGGGCGUAAAGAGCACGUAGGUGGAUUUGUAAGUCAGAUGUGAAAGCCUUCUGUUCAACGGAAGAAUUGCAUCUGAAACUACAGACCUUGAGUAUAGGAGGGGAGAAUGGAACUUCUGGUGGAGCGGUGAAAUGCGUAGAUAUCAGAAGGAACGCCGGCGGCGAAAGCGAUUCUCUGGCCUAUUACUGACACUCAGUGUGCGAAAGCUAGGGGAGCAAACGGGAUUAGAUACCCCGGUAGUCCUAGCCGUAAACGAUGGGCACUAAGUAGAGGGGUUUUAA